This 459-nucleotide ribosomal RNA is filed under the name uncultured bacterium. RNAcentral's name for it is "partial 16S ribosomal RNA". It matches the Rfam family "Bacterial small subunit ribosomal RNA", at positions 338 to 795 of the family's 1533-position model. The record is from RNAcentral.
CCUACGGGUGGCAGCAGUGAGGAAUAUUGGUCAAUGGACGAGAGUCUGAACCAGCCAAGUAGCGUGAAGGAUGACUGCCCUAUGGGUUGUAAACUUCUUUUAUAAAGGAAUAAAACGAGGCACGUGUGCCUUUUUGCAUGUACUUUAUGAAUAAGGAUCGGCUAACUCCGUGACAGCAGCCGCGGUAAUACGGAGGAUCCGAGCGUUAUCCGGAUUUAUUGGGUUUAAAGGGAGCGUAGAUGGGUUGUUAAGUCAGCGGUAAAAAUUCGGGGCUCAACCCCGUCCGGCCGUUGAAACUGGGGGCAUUGAGUGGGCGAGAAGAAGGCGGAAUGCGUGGUGUAGCGGUGAAAUGCAUAGAUAUCACGCAGAACCCCGAUUGCGAAGGCAGCCUUCCGGCGCCCUACUGACGCUGAGGCACGAAAGUGCGGGGAUCGAACAGGAUUAGAUACCCCUGUAGUC